RNAcentral lists this ribosomal RNA (301 nucleotides) under uncultured bacterium. RNAcentral's name for it is "partial 16S ribosomal RNA". It matches the Rfam family "Bacterial small subunit ribosomal RNA", at positions 509 to 807 of the family's 1533-position model. The record is from RNAcentral.
CAGCCGCCGCGGGAAUACGUAGGGUGCGAGCGUUAAUCGGAAUUACUGGGCGUAAAGCGGGCGCAGACGGUUACUUAAGCAGGAUGUGAAAUCCCCGGGCUCAACCUGGGAACUGCGUUCUGAACUGGGUGACUAGAGUGUGUCAGAGGGAGGUAGAAUUCCACGUGUAGCAGUGAAAUGCGUAGAGAUGUGGAGGAAUACCGAUGGCGAAGGCAGCCUCCUGGGAUAACACUGACGUUCAUGCCCGAAAGCGUGGGUAGCAAACAGGAUUAGAGACCCGAGUAGUCCCUGUCUCUUAUAC